ACAGAACUGGAGACGGAAGGAAACCGAAACCAGUCGGAAGCUCGGUUGCUAUUGCAGCCCCCGCCUCACAAAUAGGAAGCAGCCUUGUCUGCGCGGCGCGGAGUGUUUACUUAUAGAGCUCUAGCUCCCACAUGGAGGUCACGGCGCCAACCCGGAUCUCGCGAGAUCUACGCCGGGCUCCGCCUUAAAGAGAUUCCACAUUAGAAAAGGCAGAGGAACCAGAGAUCAAAUUGCCAACAUCCACUGGAUCAUCAAAAAAGCAAGAGAGUUCCAGAAAAACAUUUACUUCUGCUAUAUUGACUGCGCCAAAGCCUUUGACUAUGUGAAUCACAACAAACUGGAAAAUUCUUAAAAAGAUGGGACUACCGGACCACCUGACCUGCCUCCUGAGAAAUCUAUAUGCAGGUGAGGUAGCAACAGUUAAAACUGGACAUGGAACAACAGACUGGUUCCGAAUCGGGAAAGGAGUACAUCGAGGCUGUAUAUUGUCACCCUGCUUAUUUAACUUAUAUACAGAGUACAUCAUGCGAAAUGGAAGAAAAGCUAUGACCAGCCUGGACAGCAUUGCAAAGCAGAGACAUUACCUUGCCAACAAAGGUCCAUGUAGUCAAGGCUAUCGUUUUCCAGUGAUCAUGUAUGGAUGUGAGAGUUGGACUAUAAAGAAAGCUGAGUGCCAAAGAAUUGAUGCUUUUGAACUGUGGUGUUGGAGAAGACUCUUGAGAGUCCCUUGAACAGCAAGGAGAUCCAGCCAGUCCGUCCUAAAGGAAAUCAGUCCUGAAUAUUCAUUGGAAGGACUGAUGCUGAAGCUGAAACUCCAAUACUUUGGCAACCUGAGGCGAAGCACUGACUCAUUGGGAAAGACCCUGAUGCUGGGAAAGAUUGAAGGCGGGAGGAGAAGGGGACGACAGAGUGUGACAUGGUUGGAUGGCAUCACUGACAUGAUGGACAUGAGUUUGAGUAGGCUCCAGGAGUUGGUUAUGGACAGGGAAGCAUGGCUUCCUGCAGUCCAUGGAGUCACAAAGAGCUGGACAUGACUGAGCUGAACUGAACUGUAAUUGUGUUUCUCUGUCUUACUUAUUUCACUAGCACAAUACCUACCAAGUUCAUCCAUUUUGUUGCAAAUGGCAAAAUUUCAUUCCUUUUUAUGGCUGAGUAAUCUUCCACUGCAUAUAUGUAUGUAUGUGUAUAUAUAUAUAUAUAUAUAUAUAUAUAUAUACACACACACACACACACACACACACAGAUAUAUCACUCAUAUCUUCUUUAUCCAUUCAUCCGUUGAGGGACACUUAGGUUGCUUCCAUAUCUUGGCAAUUGUAUAUAAUGCUGCUAUGAACAUUGUUGAGAUGCACGUAUCUUUUUGAAUUAGUGUUUUGUUUUAAGAAAAAAAAGUUUAAGAGUGGAAUUGCUGGGUCAUAUGGUAGUUCUGGGCUUCCCUGAUCGCUCAGUGGUAAAGAAUCCACCUGCCAAUGUGGGUUCGAUCCCUGGGUUGGGAAGAUCUCCUGGAGAAGGAAAUGGCAACCCUCUCCAGUAUUCUUGCCUGAGAAAACCUAUGGACAGAGGAGCCUGGCAGUCUACAGUCCAUGGGGUCAUGAGUCAGAUACAACUUAGCAACUAAACAACAACAACAACACAUUUGUUCUAUUUUUAAUUUUUUGAGGAACUUCCAUACUGUUUUCCACAGGCCCACACUAAUUAGUUCCUUGUGGAGGAAAUAAACAUUUCAAGUACCUCAAGGGGAGAUUUUCUGUUAUAAUUCCUAAUGCUGUUUUAUCCUGUACGGGACUCUUUGUGCCUCUUGGACUUGACUAUUUCCUUUUCCUUGUUGGGGAAAUUUUCAACUAUAAUCUCUUCAAAAAUUUUCUCAUACCUUUUCUUUCUCUUUUCUUCUUCUGGGACCCCUAUAAUUCGAAUGUUGGUGCAUUUGAUAUUGUCCCACAGGUCUCAGACUAUCCUCAGUUCUUUUCAUUCUUUUUACUUUAUUCUGCUCUUCAGAAAUUAUUUCCACAAUUUUAUCUUCCAGCUCACUGAUUCAUUCUUCUGCUUCAGAUAUUCUAUUGAUUCCUUCCAGAGUAUUUUUAAUUUCAGUAAUUAUAUUGUUUGUCUCUGUAUGUUUAUUCUUUAAUUCUUCUAGGUCUUUGUUAAUUGAUUCUUGCAUUUUCUCCAUUUUGUUUUCAAGGUUUUUGAUCAUCUUUACUAUCAUUAUUCGGAAUUUUUUUUCAGGUAGUUUGCCUAUUUCCUUUUCAUUUAUUGGGACUUCUGUAUUUCUAAUUUGUUCCUUUAUUUGUGUGGUAUUUCUCUGCCUUUUCAUUAUUUUUUUUAAACUUCUUGUGUUUGAGGUCUCCUUUUCCCAGGCUUCAAGGUUGAAUUCUUUAUUCCUUUUGGUUUCUGCCCACCGACUGGUUCCAAAUAGGAAAAGGAGUAUGUCAAGGUUGUAUAUUGUCAUCCUGCUUAUUUAACUUAUAUGCAGAGUACAUCAUGAGAAAUGCUGGGCUGGAGGAAGCACAAGCUGGAAUUAAGAUUGCUGGGAGAAAUAUCAAUAACCUCAGAUAUGCAGAUGACACCACCCUUAUGGCAGAAAGUGAAGAGGAACUAAAAAGCCUCUUGAUGAAAGUGAAAGAGGAGAGUGAAAAAGUUGGCUUAAAGCUUAACAUUCAGAAAACUAAGAUCAUGGCAUCUGGUCCCAUCACCUCAUGGGAAAUAGAUGGGGAGACAGUGGACACAGUGUCAGACUUUAUUUUUCUGGGCUCCAAAAUCACUGCAGAUGGUGACUGCAGCCAUAAAAUUAAAAGACGCUUAGUCCUUGGAAGGAAAGUUAUGAUCAACCUGGAUAGCAUAUUAAAAAGCAGAGACAUUACUUUGCCAACAAAGGUCCAUCUGGUCAAGACUAUGGUUUUUCCAGUGGUCAUGUAUGGAUGUGAGAGUUGGAUUGUGAAGAAAGCUGAGUGCCAAAAAAUUGAUUCUUUUGAACUGUGGUGCUGGAGAAGACUCUUGAGAGUCCCUUGGAUUGCAAGGAGAUCCAACCAACCCAUCCUAAGGGAGAUCAGUCCUGGGUGUUCAUUGGAAGGACUGAUGCUGAAGCUGAAACUCCAGUACUUUGGCCACCUCAUGCGAAGAGUUGACUCAUUGGAAAAGACCCUGAUGCUGGGAAGGAUUGGGGGCAGGAGGAGAAGGGGAUGACAGAGGAUGAGAUGGCUGGAUGGCAUCACCGACUCGAUGGACAUGGGUUUGAGUAAACUCCAGGAGUUGGUGAUGGACAGGGAAGCCUGGCGUGGUGCGAUUCAUGGGGUCGCAAAGAGUUGGACACGACUGAGUGACUGAACUGAACUGAAGUUUAGUCUGGUGGUUUGUGUCUUAAUGCUAUUUUUAAAAGAACUACAUGUUACAAGAAUUGAACUAGAAUUUCCAUUGACUAAAAAACACUUCAUAUUGUGAUUCAUUACUUAAGUUAGCCAUAUUUUAAAGAAUCACUUAUUUGUACUAGAAUUUUUUUCUAUUUUUAAUAGAAUCACAGAUUUUUACUAUGGAAAUAUAUUUCAUAGGUCAUUUUGCUCUAAGCUCUUUAACAAAUGAGAAAAUGACUUGGACAAGGACAUGAAUCAAUGACUGACAGUGUUAGGACCCUAAAUUUCCCAUAUCCUUCCUCUUAGUCAGAGUUCUUUACCCUUCAGCUGUCCCUCUUGUUUCUCUGGAGGCCUUCCCAUUCACUUUGUCCAGAGAAUAAUCCUCAUUUUUCUUGAAGUGAGUUCUCUGGUUCUUUGGAAUACCUGAUGGUUCAAAUAGGAGUGAGGACCUGAGAUUCUCAUUAAACACUUGCAAUUUAUUCUGUUUUCAGUCACAUUCCUUCUCUUGUCUUGUGAGAUUGGUCCUUCUUAUUGUUCAACCUCUCUGAGAGUUUUGGGUCAAUCUGCUUGGAUUUCUCCACUGAAGACUGUUAGCGUUCGACUUCCUGAUGAGGGGUUCAAAUUAUAUUCUAACAGUGAGAAUACCAGCCUCAGUCCUUCUAAUGAAUAUUCAAGGUUGAUUUCCUUUAGGAUUGACUGGUUUCAUCUCCUUGCUGUCCAAGGGACUCUCAAGAGUCUUCUCCAGCACCACAGUUCAAAAGCAUCAAUUCUUCAGCGCUCAGCCUUCUUUAUGGUCCAACUCUCACACCCAUACAUGACUACUGGAAAAACCAUAGCUUUGACUAUAUGGACCAUUGUCAAUAAGGUGACUUCUCUGCUUUUUAAUACAUUGUGUAUGUUUGUCAUAGCUUUUCUUCCAAGGAGCAAGCAUCCUUUAAUUUCAUGCUGCAGUCACCAUCCACAGUGAUUUUGGAGCACAAGUGAAUAAAAUCUGUCACUGCUUCUACUUUUUCCCCAUCUAUUUGUCAUUAAGUGAUGGGACCAGAUGCUGUGAUCUUGGUUUUUGAAUGUUGAGUUUUAAGCAAAUUUUUUCACUCUCCUCUUUCGCCCUCAGGGCUUCCUUGGUAUCUCAUCUGGUAAAGAACCCACCUGCAAUGCGGGAGACCUGGGUUUGAUCCAUGGGUUGGGAAGAUCCCCUGGAGAAUGGAAAGGCUACCCUCUCCAGUAUUCUGGCCUGGAGAAUUCCAUGGACUGUAUAGUCCAUCAGGUCGCAAAGAGAGGGACAGGACUGAGUGACUUUCACUUUCAUUGUCAUCAAGAGACUCUUUAGUUCCUCUUCAUUUUCUUCCAUUAAAGUGGUAUCAUCUGCAUAUCUGAGACUGUUGAUAUCUUUCUUGAUAAUCUUGAUUCCAGCUUGUGAUUCAUCCAGCCCUUCAUUUCUCAUGAUAUACUCUGCAUAUAAGUUAAAUAAGCAGGCUGACAAUAUACAGCCUUGUCAUACUCCUUUCCCAGUUUUUAGCCAGUCCACUGUUCCACCUCUGGUCCUAACUGUUGCUUCUUGACCUAUAAACAUGUUUCUUAGGAUACAGGUAAGGUGGUCUGAUAUUCCCAUCUCUUUAAGAAUUUUCCACAGUUUUUUGUGAUCCACACAAAGACUUUAACAUAGUCAAUGAAGCAGAAGGAAAUGUUUUUCUAGAAUUCCCUUGCUUUUUAUAUGAUCCAGUGGGUGUUGGCAACUUGAUGUCUGGUUCCUCUGCCUUUUCUAAAUCCAGCUUGUACAUCUGGAAGUUCUCAGUUCACAUACUGUUGAAGCCUAGCUUGAAGGAUUUUGAGUAUUACCUUGCUAGCAUGUUAAAUGAGUGCAAUUGUAUGGUAGUUUGGACAUUCUUUGGCAUUGCCUUUCUUUGGGAUUGGAAUGAAAAACUGACUCUUUCCAGUCCUGUGGCCACUGCUGAGUUUUCCAUAUUUGCUAGCAUAUUAAGUGCAGCACUUUUACAGAAUCAUCUUUUAGGAUUUUAAAUAGCUCUGCUGGAAUUCCAUCACCUCCACUAGCCUUGUCAUAGUAAUGCUUACUAAGGCCCCCUUGAAUUCACAGUUGAAGAUGUCUGGCUCUAGGUGAAUGACCACAUCAUUGUGAUUUUCCAGGUCAUUAAGACCAUUUUUUGUAGAGUUCUUCUGUGUAUUUUUGGCACCUCUUCUUAAUCUCUUCUCCUGUUAGGUCCUUGCCAUUUUUGUCCUUUAUAGUGCCCAUCUUUGCAUGAAAAGUUCCAUUGGUGUCCCUAAUUUUCUUGAAGAGAUCUCUAGUCUCCCCCCAUUCUACUGUUUCCUCCAUUUAUUUACACUGUUCAUUAAGAAGGCUUUCUUAUCUCUCCUUGCUAUUCUCUGGAACUCUGCCUUUAGUUGGGUAUAUCUUUCCCUGUUUGCUUUGCCUUUUGCUUCUCUUCUUAGCUAUUUGUAAGGCCUCAACAGAAAACCACUUUGCCUUCUUGCAUUUCUUUUUCUUUGGGAUGGUUUUGGUCACUGCCUCCUGUGCAAUGUUAUGAAUCUCUGUCCAUAGUUCUUCAGGCAUUCUGUCUACCAGGUUUAUCCCUUGAAUCUAUUCAUCACCUCCACUGUAUAAUCAUAAGGGAUUUGAUUUAGGUCGUACCUUCAUGGCCUCAUGCUUUUCCUUACUUCCUUCAACUUAAGUCUCAAUUUUGCAAUAAGGAGCUCAUGAUCUGAGCCACAGUCAGCUUCGAGUCUUGUUUUUGCUGACUUUAUAGAGCUUCUCCAUCUUCAGCUGCACAGAAUAGAAUCAGUCUGAUUUUGGUAUUGACCAUCUGGUGAUGUAUAUGUGUAGAGUCGUCUCUUGUGUUGUUGGAAGAGGGUGUGUGCUAUGACCAGUGCGUUCUCUUGGCAGAACUGUUAGCCCUUGCUGUACUUCUUUCUGUACUCCAAGGCCAAACUUGCCUGUUAAUCCAGUGUCACUUCUACCAUAUUAUUUUGACCAAAACAUUCACAAAAGCCCAUUCAGUUUCAGGGGGUGGGGAUAGAGACCUUGCCUCUCAAUGGGAAGGGUUUCAAAGCUACAUUGUAACAGUAUACAGGAGGAAAGAUGUUGCAGCCAUUUGGGGGCGAUAGAAUCUGGAACACAACUCCUCCAUAUGAUUUUUUCCCUUUUUUUUUUUUUUUGUAUGACCAAGAGUUUUUAAAUUAUGAAAUGCAUCAGUCAUAUAAGAAAA
Long non-coding RNA from Dama dama (fallow deer), 6565 nucleotides. RefSeq lists it as uncharacterized. Lineage: Eukaryota; Metazoa; Chordata; Mammalia; Artiodactyla; Cervidae. The record is from RefSeq and is a predicted model, not a curated record. The transcript has 2 exons.